Molecule: ribosomal RNA, 460 nt
Filed under: uncultured bacterium
Lineage: Bacteria
Description: partial 16S ribosomal RNA
Rfam family: Bacterial small subunit ribosomal RNA
Source: RNAcentral
CCUACGGGGGGCAGCAGUGAGGAAUAUUGGUCAAUGGCCGGAAGGCUGAACCAGCCAUGCCGCGUGAAGGUCAGUGCCCUAUGGGCGUUAAACUUCUUUUGUGCGUGAGCAAUAAUGGUCACGUGUGGCCAGACGAGAGUACCGUACGAAUAAGCAUCGGCUAACUCCGUGCCAGCAGCCGCGGUUAUACGGGGGAUGCAAGCGUUAUCCGGAAUUAUUGGGUUUAAGGGGUGCGUAGGCUGUGAGGUAAGUCAGCGGUGAAAUGCCCCCGCCCAACGGGGUGAAGUGCCAUUGAUACUGCCGUGCUGGAAUGCGGAUGCCGUGGGAGGAAUGUGUGGUGUAGCGGUGAAAUGCAUAGAUAUCACACAGAACACCGAUUGCGAAGGCAUCUCACGAAUCCGCGAUUGACGCUGAUGCACGAAAGCGUGGGUAUCAAACAGGAUUAGAUACCCCAGUAGUC